This 354-nucleotide long non-coding RNA is filed under the name Actinidia chinensis (golden kiwifruit). Its description in RNAcentral is "long non-coding RNA (ACHI_LNC000949)". Lineage: Eukaryota; Viridiplantae; Streptophyta; Magnoliopsida; Ericales; Actinidiaceae. The record is from RNAcentral.
CAAAUGAAUUGCACAAGCCGAUGACGACCUUUUAAACAAACGCUCAAGAGUUGAUGUCGUUCCAGCAAUUUAUGAUGAUAGGGUGGCCAGGUAGAGGAGAUAAGAAGAGUUCAUGAGGCUUUAGUACGAUAUUUGUUGGGUUUGAAUUGCCACAAGCAAAAGAUAUCUGUUGUGGGGUUUGGUGUUGGCACAGGUGUAAAAGCAGGGUUGAUAGCCGGAUUUUCAUCACGUUUAUGUUAGGAGUGUCCGUGGUAGAGAAAAACAGUAUAUAAUAGUUUCAUGUAAAGAUCAGGAGUUUCGUUCCUUCCAGAAAUGAAAGAAGUGUUGAAAAUAUCCAAACAUACUGGUCAUCUG